Molecule: transfer RNA, 72 nt
Filed under: Lacrimispora saccharolytica
Lineage: Bacteria; Bacillati; Bacillota; Clostridia; Lachnospirales; Lachnospiraceae
Also listed under: 2 other names
Description: tRNA-Gln
Rfam family: tRNA
About the family: Transfer RNA (tRNA) molecules are approximately 80 nucleotides in length. Their secondary structure includes four short double-helical elements and three loops (D, anti-codon, and T loops).
Source: RNAcentral
UGGGCCAUCGCCAAGCGGUAAGGCAUAGCACUUUGACUGCUACACUCGCUGGUUCGAAUCCAGUUGGCCCAG